Molecule: long non-coding RNA, 1811 nt
Organism: Leucoraja erinaceus (little skate)
Lineage: Eukaryota; Metazoa; Chordata; Chondrichthyes; Rajiformes; Rajidae
Exons: 2
Source: RefSeq, a predicted model, not a curated record
AUCUGGUAAAUAGACAUCUGGUGACAUCUAGCAAAUAGACCGGUCCUGCCAGAUAUGAGGGAGGUAUGUACAUUACAGAGGGACGCCUCUUGUAUAUAAUAAUAACUAUGGAAACAAGAGGGCUGUGCCAUUGAUUCAGCACACCCCGCUUGGACAAGUUGGUGUAUACGAUACAUUUUUACCCGUCUUACCCAUGCUGGUAAGGAGGGAAUGAUAGGAUAACAAAGGAAAUGUGGUGGCACCCGAAAAUUUGAAGAGGCACUGAAGCAGGCCUCUGAAUGUAAAAUUUGCCAAUGAAAUAAUCCAGGCAAACCAAUUAGGAGGGGUGACGCCAAUGCCAUCACGAUCGUUUGAAUGCAUACAGAUUGGUUUUAUUGAAAUGCCAAGGGCCCAGUGUUAUAAAUAUUGCGUAGUAAUUUUAGAUUUAUUUAGUAGGUGGAGUAAAGCUCUACCAACCACUAUUACUAAGGAAAAAUGUGCACAUUUUAAUAUCUGACAGCAAUUCACUGUACACACCACCCACAAGCAUCUGGGAUGGUGGAAAGAGUCAAUGGGGAUUGCAAAACAAAAUUACCCAGGAGAUCUACAUUCCCAGGUUGGAGGAGCUUUGCUGGGAGCCAUAAAAGCUAUACGAUGAUGGGGGUGCUGGGACAAGAAGAAAUUGAAACUGUAUUGAAAAGAACAACCAAGUGUUGCUAACAACAUGAACUGCUGUAAAGAUGAAAGAUCAUCGUCGCUGGAUACAUUUGAUUGACUGUGAACAGUUUGUGGAAACAAGGACGAUGGGCUAUUGAUGUUCCUUUAUUCUGGGGUGGCCCAGCCCACAUGGACUGAACUUUCUUCAGAAUGGCAAACUUGCGGACUAACCCACAUUUAAAGGAUGGUACACACCUCCUUUUAAACAAGAUUGAAGUCAAACAUGACAAGCGCAGCAAAGAUACCCUGACUACAGACAGUAAGAGGUCUGCAAAGGCCAGUUAAAUCUACCUGUUUUUGCCACAACCAAGGCACUGGUGUAUUUUAAGGAAACAGUAUAUUUGUGACAGGGCAUUGUUAUGUUGCAAAUGCAGUGCCACACAAGAGAAGCAUGAACCAGUUACACCAGCACACAGGGAAAUCCAAAUGAAGCCGAAUAAAGGCUGAGCAAUUUUUAUGAUCCUUUUCCUGUCCUAUGGUAGUAUAUUAGUGUCACGUCCGGGGGAGGUUGGUGGCCAUUUAAAAUGUUUGGAGGGACUUGUGAAACGAUUGUCCACUAUGAAUUGAUUGUGUUACUAGUGUACUAUUAAUUUGUCUGAUGAGAUGCUUAUGGUCUUUCGUAUGUACUCAGGAAGGACUGUAGUUGUUAUCAAAAUUUUGAUAAAAGGAUGGAAUGAUGAAGCCGAGUUUUAGUUAAAAAUAUAAGAAGAUAUUAAAUUGGUUUCUGGGCUAGCUUACAGCUUAUAUUUAGUGUCAAAUUAGGCUUUCCUCAGGUUGCGGGGUGUGUGAGAUAACAUUGUCUCCCAAGUGAAGGAGCUAGAGAGAUAGCUGGUCAAAUCUUUGAAGUGAGAUGCCAUAAACCAAUGUUUAUGGGGAGGAGGCAAUAAAGGAAGAGCGAAAUAGCCAGUCACAUCUUUGUAAACAAAUGACCUAUGUUUAUGAGGGACCAAAUGACAGAGGAAGCAGCGAAGAGAGCUAGGGUGGUCUAUUUGGAGAUAAGGCAAAUGGACAAUGUUUUUAGUAUAUCUUGUACCAUGUAAAAAAAAAAGGUUUGAUGUGAUGCAUUCUGUGGAAACCUUUUCCAGUACUUCUGACCAUGACUAAUGUCUGUGGAA